This is a long non-coding RNA of Pogonomyrmex barbatus (red harvester ant), 307 nucleotides long. RefSeq lists it as uncharacterized. NCBI's taxonomy places the organism in Eukaryota, Metazoa, Arthropoda, Insecta, Hymenoptera, Formicidae. The record is from RefSeq and is a predicted model, not a curated record.
AUGAUGGCUAGAAAACAUAGUAUAAGAGCUUCAAAGGUAUACGACAAAAAUUAUUAUAUAUAUUAUUAUAUAAGUGGAUAAAAGUAUUAGGACUGUAUAUAAUUUGACAUUCGGUGAUUUGAAUCAUUGGAUUUGACAUUGGAAUGAUUCGACGACUACACGUUUUGGAGGUUCGUUAACGUCCUGCAUCGAAGCCGUACCUUCAGGAUAGGGCCCGAUAUGAAGGGGUGAGGCGAACAUAUAGUUUUCCUCGGCGGAGCGUUUUAUUUCACAAAAUGAUUAUUUGGGCAAAAAUAAAUAAAAAAAA